This 527-nucleotide ribosomal RNA is filed under the name uncultured bacterium. Its description in RNAcentral is "bacterial SSU rRNA". It matches the Rfam family "Bacterial small subunit ribosomal RNA", at positions 524 to 1050 of the family's 1533-position model. The record is from RNAcentral.
UACGUAGGGGGCGAGCGUUGUCCGGAAUUACUGGGCGUAAAGGGUGCGUAGGCGGUUCAUUAAGUUAGAAGUGUAAUACCCAGGGCUUAACUCGGGUGCUGCUUCUAAAACUAAUGGGCUUGAGUGCAGGAGGGGAGAGUGGAAUUCCUAGUGUAGCGGUGGAAUGCGUAGAUAUUAGGAAGAACAUCAGUGGCGAAGGCGACUCUCUGGCCUGUAACUGACGCUGAGGCACGAAAGCGUGGGUAGCAAACAGGAUUAGAUACCCUGGUAGUCCACGCCGUAAACGAUGGAUACUAGAUGCAGGAGGUAUUGACUCCUUCUGUGUCGCAGUUAACGCAUUAAGUAUCCCGCCUGGGGAGUACGGCCGCAAGGCUAAAACUCAAAGGAAUUGACGGGGGCCCGCACAAGCAGCGGAGCAUGUGGUUUAAUUCGAAGCAACGCGAAAAACCUUACCAAGACUUGACAUCGUAUGACCACUAUGGAAACAUAGCUUCUCUUCGGAGCAUAUAGACAGGUGGUGCAUGGUU